Molecule: ribosomal RNA, 486 nt
Filed under: uncultured bacterium
Lineage: Bacteria
Description: bacterial SSU rRNA
Rfam family: Bacterial small subunit ribosomal RNA
Source: RNAcentral
GACGAACGCUGGCGGCGUGCUUAACACAUGCAAGUCGAACGAUGAACACCAGCUUGCUGGUGGGAUUAGUGGCGAACGGGUGAGUAACACGUGAGUAACCUGCCCUUGACUCUGGGAUAAGCGUUGGAAACGACGUCUAAUACCGGAUAGGACUCCUGGCCGCAUGGUCUGGGGGUGGAAAGAUUUUUUGGUCAAGGAUGGACUCGCGGCCUAUCAGGUUGUUGGUGAGGUAAUGGCUCACCAAGCCGACGACGGGUAGCCGGCCUGAGAGGGUGACCGGCCACACUGGGACUGAGACACGGCCCAGACUCCUACGGGAGGCAGCAGUGGGGAAUAUUGCACAAUGGGCGCAAGCCUGAUGCAGCAACGCCGCGUGAGGGACGACGGCCUUCGGGUUGUAAACCUCUUUUAGUAGGGAAGAAGCGAAAGUGACGGUACCUGCAGAAAAAGCACCGGCUAACUACGUGCCAGCCGCCGCCGUAAAAC